This 234-nucleotide unclassified non-coding RNA is filed under the name uncultured fungus. Its description in RNAcentral is "sequence contains ITS1". Lineage: Eukaryota; Fungi. The record is from RNAcentral.
UAGGUAGACGCCAUCAAACGAUGCAAACAGAGCAAAAACCAAGCCGGCCAGAAGCCAGUCACAAAGUACGCCAGCGAGCGACGGACGCUACGCAGCACGCAAAAGACGGAGCCAGCCUACGCUGGUCACGAAGCAGAGCAAACCGCAGGCUGCGGUAGUGCAGCCUGCGCUAGGAGCGCUCGGCCAUGGCCUUGCUACUUCCUAAUGAUCCUUCCGCAGGUUCACCUACGGAAA